RNAcentral lists this ribosomal RNA (380 nucleotides) under uncultured eukaryote. RNAcentral's name for it is "partial 18S ribosomal RNA". It matches the Rfam family "Eukaryotic small subunit ribosomal RNA", at positions 592 to 976 of the family's 1831-position model. The record is from RNAcentral.
CAAUAGCGUAUAUUAAAGUUGUUGCAGUUAAAAAGCUCGUAGUUGGAUUUGUGGCGUACGGUGUGUUCCGGGCACUUGUUGUCUGAGUAACCUGCUGUUGCCAUCCUUGGGUGGAACCUGUGUGGCAUUAGGUUGUCGUGCAGGGGAUGCCCAUCAUUUACUGUGAAAAAAUUAGAGUGUUCAAAGCAGGCUUAUGCCGUUGAAUAUAUUAGCAUGGAAUAAUGAGAUAGGACUUUUUUGCUAUUUUGUUGGUUUGCGCAAAGAGGUAAUGAUUAAUAGGGACAGUUGGGGGUAUUCGUAUUCCAUUGUCAGAGGUGAAAUUCUUGGAUUUUUGGAAGACGAACUACUGCGAAAGCGUUUACCAAGGAUGUUUUCAUUAA